GAUGAACGCUGGCGGCGUGCCUAAUACAUGCAAGUCGAGCGAACAGACGAGGAGCUUGCUCCUCUGACGUUAGCGGCGGACGGGUGAGUAACACGUGGAUAACCUACCUAUAAGACUGGGAUAACUUCGGGAAACCGGUGCUAAUACCGGAUAAUAUAUUGACCCGCAUGGUUCAAUAGUGAAAGACGGUUUUGCUGUCACUUAUAGAUGGAUCCGCGCCGCAUUAGCUAGUUGGUAAGGUAACGGCUUACCAAGGCGACGAUGCGUAGCCGACCUGAGAGGGUGAUCGGCCACACUGGAACUGAGACACGGUCCAGACUCCUACGGGAGGCAGCAGUAGGGAAUCUUCCGCAAUGGGCGAAAGCCUGACGGAGCAACGCCGCGUGAGUGAUGAAGGUCUUCGGAUCGUAAAACUCUGUUAUUAGGGAAGAACAAAUGUGUAAGUAACUAUGCACGUCUUGACGGUACCUAAUCAGAAAGCCACGGCUAACUACGUG
RNAcentral lists this ribosomal RNA (497 nucleotides) under uncultured bacterium. RNAcentral's name for it is "partial 16S ribosomal RNA". It matches the Rfam family "Bacterial small subunit ribosomal RNA", at positions 28 to 507 of the family's 1533-position model. The record is from RNAcentral.